RNAcentral lists this ribosomal RNA (800 nucleotides) under uncultured bacterium. RNAcentral's name for it is "bacterial SSU rRNA". It matches the Rfam family "Bacterial small subunit ribosomal RNA", at positions 165 to 965 of the family's 1533-position model. The record is from RNAcentral.
AAUACCGGAUAAUCUUCCGAAUGCUACGGCUUUUGGAAUUAAAGGGGGCCUCUACAUGUAAGCUCCUGUUUGAAGAUGAGCCCGCGUCCCAUCAGCUAGUUGGUAGGGUAACGGCCUACCAAGGCGAUGACGGGUAGGGGGCCUGAGAGGGUGGCCCCCCACAAUGGUACUGAAACACGGACCAUACACCUACGGGUGGCAGCAGUAGGGAAUAUUGCCCAAUGGACGAAAGUCUGAGGCAGCAACGCCGCGUGCGCGAUGAAGGCCUUCGGGUUGUAAAGCGCUUUUACGUGGGAAGAGGAAGGACGGUACCACGUGAAUAAGGAUCGGCCAACUACGUGCCAGCAGCCGCGGUAACACGUAGGAUUCAAACGUUAUCCGGAUUUAUUGGGCGUAAAGCGCGUGUAGGCGGUUUGGUAAGUUGGAUGUGAAAGUUCCAGGCUCAACCUGGAGAGGUCAUUCAAAACUGCCAGACUAGAGGACGGUAGAGGGAGGUGGAAUUCCGGGUGUAGCGGUGAAAUGCGUAGAUACCCGGAGGAACACCAGUGGCGAAGGCGGCCUCCUGGGCCGUUCCUGACGCUCAGACGCGAAAGCUAGGGUAGCGAACGGGAUUAGAAACCCCGGUAGUCCUAGCCGUAAACGAUGUAGACUUGGUGUUGGUGGGGUAAAAGCCAUCAGUGCCGUAGCUAACGCGAUAAGUCUACCGCCUGGGGAUUACGACCGCAAGGUUAAAACUCAAAGGAAUUGACGGGUCCCCGCACAAGCAGCGGAGCGUGUGGUUUAAUUCGAUGCUACGCGAA